Molecule: ribosomal RNA, 460 nt
Filed under: uncultured bacterium
Lineage: Bacteria
Description: partial 16S ribosomal RNA
Rfam family: Bacterial small subunit ribosomal RNA
Source: RNAcentral
CCUACGGUGGGCAGCAGUGAGGAAUAUUGGUCAAUGGACGAGAGUCUGAACCAGCCAAGUAGCGUGAAGGAUGACUGCCCUAUGGGUUGUAAACUUCUUUUAUAUGGGAAUAAAACAGGGUAUGCAUACCCUCUUGUAUGUACCAUAUGAAUAAGGAUCGGCUAACUCCGUGCCAGCAGCCGCGGUAAUACGGAGGAUCCGAGCGUUAUCCGGAUUUAUUGGGUUUACAGGGAGCGUAGAUGGGUUGUUAAGUCAGUUGUGAAAGUUUGCGGCUCAACCGUAAGAUUGCAAUUGAUACUGGCAGCCGUGAGUACAGUUGAGGUAGGCGGAAUUCGUGGUGUAGCGGUGAAAUGCUUAGAUAUCACGAAGAACUCCGAUUGCGAAGGCAGCCUACUAAACUGCCACUGACAUUGAUGCUCGAAAGUGUGGGUAUCAAACAGGAUUAGAUACCCCUGUAGUC